GCGCACCAGGCGCGAAAAUUUUGCAAUGCGCGCAAGCGUGACAAAGUCAUCCCGAGUGCCGUCCGCUGAGGAUGGCUUUUCCCCAGUGUAGACAGCUGGGGGAAUAAGGAGAGGGCAAGUCGGGUGUCAGCCGCCGCGGUAAUACCCGCUCUCCGAGUGGUGGGGACGCUUAUUGGGCCUAAAGCAUCCGUAGCUAGCUGGGCAAGUCCCCUGUUAAAUCCAGCGAUUUAAUCGUUGGACUGCGGGGGAUACUGUCCGGCUAGGGGGCGGGAGAGGCCGACGGUAUUUCCGGGGUAGGGGUGAAAUCCUAUAAUCCCGGGAGGACCACCAGUGGCGAAGGCUGUCGGCUAGAACGCGCCCGACGGUGAGGGAUGAAAGCUGGGGGAGCGAACCGGAUUAGAUACCCGGGUAGUCC
Molecule: ribosomal RNA, 415 nt
Filed under: uncultured crenarchaeote
Lineage: Archaea; Thermoproteati; Thermoproteota
Description: partial 16S ribosomal RNA
Rfam family: Archaeal small subunit ribosomal RNA
Source: RNAcentral